GUUUUCUACGAGGACGAAAUCAGCUGUUUCCAAAAGUCGCGUUUCUUCCCAAACAUCAAUUUCCUGUCCAUUGAAGGAGGCUUUUUUCCAUCCUAAAGUCCAAUGUCUGUGGCAAGUGAAGUGCAGUCGCCUGUCGACAAAGAAAAUGGUUCUUUGCCGCACAGUGAAGAAAAACUUUGUGAUCUGCCUUCAUCCGCGACCCCAGAAGAGAGAAUCCAGUAUAAAUUGGAGAAGGCAGUGGGCUUCAAGCAAAAGGGAAAUGACCACUUCAAGCAGCAGCAGUUGAAGAAGGCCAUAAGGAAUUAUCAUAGUGGACUCAUGUAUAUGAAAGCAGUGGAUCAGGACAUGAAUCCAAACAAACAUUUUGGUCAAAGUCGCGCUGCCCCAAAACUCCCCCAAGAGACAAAAGACGCAGUGAUGAUGUUAACGGCCGAUUUGCACAACAAUUUGGCAGCAUGCUUAUUAAAGCAAGAACCGGUAAGGUACGAGAGAGUGGUUGAGUGUUGCAAGCAGGUGACAGAGUUCCAGCCAAGAAUGUGAAGGGUUGGUAUCGCCUUGGGCUCGCUCAGUUCCACCUCCGCGACUACGAUGCGGCGAAAGAAGCCCUAAAAGAAGCUAAUGCAAUAUCUGAAGGCAAAGACACAGCAGUACGGAAAUUGAUGCUCCAAGUAGACCAGGAACUAAGGAAAGAGAACAAGAAAUUCAGUGACAUGUUUAAGAACAGUCUUUUGGUGAAGCAGUCUUGACAAUAAUGUUUUUAAAGGUCCAAUAACCAUGUAUUAUUCCCUUGCAUCUCAUAAGGUCUUGAAUGUCAUGCCUAUAGAAAUAAGUUGUUUUUUUCCUUCCAAACUUUAAGAAGUGUUGUUUUUGUUGUGUUUCAUUGGUGAUGUCUGUGGAUGGGUACAAGAAUUAUUUUUCCUGUGAAAGAAAUUAUGUGAUGUUAGUUAGUGAAGAGAAGUGGAUUGUGUUAUCUUGCAAAAUAUGACUUAUGUUUUACUGAUGCAGUACAAACAAUAGGCCCACUAAGAAUUAUGGAUGAUGAUUCUUCAGAUAUCAGAACAGUAUAUGGUACUCAGGAACUAUAGUGUAACUGCAUAUCUAAUCAAAAUCUGUUAUUUUUAUUUUUUAUAAUUGUUUAAUUCACUACUGUUGGCUAGGGUGAUGAGAUCGCAGCAUUAUUUUUAUUUUUAGCUAAGCAUUAUUAGUUUAUUAAUAUUUUAUUUUUUUAUGAUUGUAAUACUGGUAUGCAUUGAUUGACAACAGUGUAGUUCAAUAUGUAACAGUUAACAUAUAUGAAUAUCGUACUUGACAUUUGUUUAUUCACUUAUUUGUUUUAUGUAUUCAUUUAUUAACAUUUCAGUAUUUUGCUUAAUACUGUGAUUCAAAGUCAUUAUAGAAGUGUACCCAAUAUUUUCCAUUGACUCGGCUUAAUAACUGUGACUGAUCUGGAGAAACAAAUUUGUGAUA
Molecule: RNA transcript, 1467 nt
Organism: Penaeus chinensis
Lineage: Eukaryota; Metazoa; Arthropoda; Malacostraca; Decapoda; Penaeidae
Exons: 5
Source: RefSeq, a predicted model, not a curated record